This 2983-nucleotide ribosomal RNA is filed under the name Ulvophyceae sp. MBIC10031. RNAcentral describes it as "SSU rRNA". The stretch from base 1 to 2577 matches the Rfam family "Eukaryotic small subunit ribosomal RNA". The record is from RNAcentral. Lineage: Eukaryota; Viridiplantae; Chlorophyta; Ulvophyceae.
UAGUCAUAUGCUUGUCUCAAAGAUUAAGCCAUGCAUGUCUAAGUAUAAACUGCUUAUACGGCGAAACUGCGAAUGGCUCAUUAAAUCAGUUAGAGUUUAUUUGAUGGUACCUUACUACUCGGAUAACCGUAGUAAAGCUACAGCUAAUACGUGCGCAGAUCCCGACUCACGAAGGGACGUAUUUAUUAGAUUCAAGACCGACCGUGCUUGCACGCUCUUGGUGAAUCAUGGUAACUUCACGAAUCGCACGGCCUCGUGCCGGCGAUGUUUCAUUCAACUUUCUGCCCUAUCAACUUUCGACGGUAGUAUAGAGGACUACCGUGGUAGUAACGGGUGACGGAGAAUUAGGGUUCGAUUCCGGAGAGGGAGCCUGAGAAACGGCUACCACAUCCAAGGAAGGCAGCAGGCGCGCAAAUUACCCAAUCCUGACACAGGGAGGUAGUGACAAAAAAUAUCAAUACUGGGCCUCAUGGUCCGGUAAUUGGAAUGAGUACAAUCUAAAUCCGUUAACGAGGAUCCAUUGGAGGGCAAGUCUGGUGCCAGCAGCCGCGGUAAUUCCAGCUCCAAUAGCGUAUAUUUAAGUUGUUGCAGUUAAAAAGCUCGUAGUUGGAUUUCGGGUGGGCUACGCCGGUCUCCUAACGGUUGUACUGGCGACGCCCGCCUUGCUGCCGGGGACGGGCUCCCGCCUUAAUUGUCGGGACCCGGAAUCGGCGACGUUACUUUGAGUAAAUUAGAGUGUUCAAAGCAAGCCUACGCUCUGAAUAUAAUAGCAUGGGAUAACACGACAGGACUCUGGCCUAUCGUGUUGGUCUGUAGGACCAGAGUAAUGAUUAAGAGGGACAGUCGGGGGCAUCCGUAUUCCGUUGUCAGAGGUGAAAUUCUUGGAUUUACGGAAGACGAACAUCUGCGAAAGCAUUUGCCAAGGAUGUUUUCAUUGAUCAAGAACGAAAGUUAGGGGCUUGAAGACGAUUAGAUACCGUCGUAAUCCUAACCAUAAACGAUGCCGACUAGGGAUUGGCGGAAGUUCUUUUGAUGACUCCGCCAGCACCUCAUGAGAAAUCAAAGUUUUUGGGUUCCGGGGGGAGUAUGGUCGCAAGGCUGAAACUUAAAGGAAUUGACGGAAGGGCACCACCAGGCGUAAACCUACGGCCGUACAUUUGGCUCUGCGCCAGUCGAGGUGUGAACGGCCCAUUCACUUGAAGCGCCUCGGCUAGUCACUGCAGCACUUGUGUGCGCAGCUGCAGCGGCGACAUCAUCGAAUUGCUGGAAACCCCUAAAGCUCUGCGUACCAAGUGCUUGUCGAAAGACAAGUGCGGCUUCAUUCAGGAGAGGUCACAACCGCAAGAGAUGAGACAAUGGGCAAUCAGCAGCGAAGCUCCUUCCUCUCUCUAAAGAGAUGGAGAACGUUCAGAGACUAAGCGGUGAUGGGCUCUUUGCAGCCUAAGAUAUAGUCCAAGCCCCAGCGAAAGCUGAUGCAGAGAUGAGGGGAGCGCAACCCCAGAGCUCUGCAGUAGGGAUACAAGACAGUCUCUUGUUUAUUGUAAACAGGGAGCCUGCGGCUUAAUUUGACUCAACACGGGAAAACUUACCAGGUCCAGACAUGCGAAGGAUUGACAGAUUGAAAGCUCUUUCUUGAUUGUAUGGGUGAACACCACUGCCCAAGAGAGUGAGGCGAAAGCCUGCGCUAGUCAAACCCUGUCCGCUAUUGCAAGGGCAAGGGCUAGGCAAGACCGUUGAAUUGCGGGAAACUCCUAAAGCUCACAACACCACAGCAUUUGGGCAACCAAUUGCUUGCCAGGGUAAUGACCUCGGAUGGUAAAAGCGUGUGAGAUGUGCAAUGGACGAUCCGCAGCCAAGCUUCCAUUUUGAAUCAGUUCAAGUGGUAGAAGGUUCAGAGACUAGGUAGCGGUCGGCCUGCUAAACGAGCAGGCUUAAGAUAUAGUCCGGCUCUGCCGAAAGGCAGCCGCAGGAUGAAAGGCGCCAGCAGCGCUCGGAGCCUGCGGGAGUAGAUACCGCGGUUAUGGUUAGAUACCGCUCUGGUAUCGUGCUUGGAGUAUUCGGGUGGUGCAUGGCCGUUCUUAGUUGGUGGGUUGCCUUGUCAGGUUGAUUCCGGUAACGAACGAGACCUCAGCCUGCUAAAUAGUUUCUUCUGCUCCGGCAGUCGACUAUCUUCUUAGAGGGACUGUUGGCGUCUAGCCAAUGGAAGUAUGAGGCAAUAACAGGUCUGUGAUGCCCUUAGAUGUUCUGGGCCGCACGCGCGCUACACUGACACGUUCAACAAGUUCCUUGUCCGAAAGGUCUGGGUAAUCUUUGAAACCGUGUCGUGAUGGGGAUAGAACAUUGCAAUUAUUGUUCUUCAACGAGGAAUGCCUAGUAAGCGCGAGUCAUCAUCUCGCGUUGAUUACGUCCCUGCCCUUUGUACACACCGCCCGUCGCUCCUACCGAUUGAACGUGCUGGUGAAGCGUUAGGACUGGACUGUUGGCUAGGUUUCCUGGCCGGCAGUUCGGGAAUUGCGUUAAACCCUCCCGUUUAGAGGAAGGAGAAGUCGUAACAAGGUCUCCGUUAAAGAAUCAAUUUCACCAGCGGACAAGAGGGCCAGUAAAAGCUGUCAUGCCCUAGUGAGAUGAAUCGUCUCGCAACACUGUCAAAUUGCCGGAAAGUCUUGCGAUGCCAGUGGUACCGUUGUCUUCACGAAAGUCAAGGCAAUGCCAUGGUGAAAGUCAUGAGCGUGGUAAUAAUCUACUGGAUAGAGAUGAUCGGCAGCCAAGCUCUAAGGUGACACUCUCUUUUAUCGAGUGCGCUAUGAGUGCAGUCCACAGACUAGAUGGCAGUGGGUCCUAUGGGCUUAAGAUAUAGUCGGCCCCUACCGAGAGGUAGUCUUCAAGAGGACUGAGCAUGCGUCUCAUGAGAGCUUGAAGAGGUAAGCAAUAAUAGAAUGUGCUGCAAGGUGCAUUCGGCUUCACGCCUGCUUGCCGGAACCAG